AUUGAACGCUGGCGGCAGGCCUAACACAUGCAAGUCGAACGGUAGCACAGAGAGCUUGCUCUCGGGUGACGAGUGGCGGACGGGUGAGUAACGUCUGGGAAACUGCCCGAUGGAGGGGGAUAACUACUGGAAACGGUAGCUAAUACCGCAUAACGUCGCAAGACCAAAGUGGGGGACCUUCGGGCCUCACACCAUCGGAUGUGCCCAGAUGGGAUUAGCUAGGAGGUGGGGUAAUGGCUCACCUAGGCGACGAUCCCUAGCUGGUCUGAGAGGAUGACCAGCCACACUGGAACUGAGACACGGCCCAGACUCCUACGGGAGGCAGCAGUGGGGAAUAUUGCACAAUGGGCGCAAGCCUGAUGCAGCCAUGCCGCGUGUAUGAAGAAGGCCUUCGGGUUGUAAAGUACUUUCAGCGGGGAGGAAGGCGGUGGAGUUAAUAACUUCACCGAUUGACGUUACCCGCAGAAGAAGCACCGGCUAACUCCGUGCCAGCAGCCGCCGUAA
RNAcentral lists this ribosomal RNA (504 nucleotides) under uncultured bacterium. Its description in RNAcentral is "partial 16S ribosomal RNA". It matches the Rfam family "Bacterial small subunit ribosomal RNA", at positions 29 to 523 of the family's 1533-position model. The record is from RNAcentral.